Long non-coding RNA from Quercus robur (English oak), 427 nucleotides. RefSeq lists it as uncharacterized. The transcript has 2 exons. The record is from RefSeq and is a predicted model, not a curated record. Lineage: Eukaryota; Viridiplantae; Streptophyta; Magnoliopsida; Fagales; Fagaceae.
UUUUCUUCAUUUUCUCUCAUACACUCCUCUCUACUCCUACAUCCUCUCUCACCGGUACUUCCACACCACCACCACCACCAUUUCCACCAUCAUUUUUUGGUAAAAUCACCGGAAAAUUCUUGAGAACCUAUAAGCACCUUCGCAUCCUUUUUUGUGAGUAGGCAACUAUCGUUUUGAGACAGCUUUUUGGUGGCUAACAGUAGUUAGACUAACCGUUGAUGAAGGCUGACUUUUGUGAUGGAGAUAAUUGAUGAUGUAUAACUUAGAGUAGGCUUGACCCAAUUCUUUUGUAUCUAAUAGUGGUUAUGCCUUUAUUUCCACUAAUAGGAUAAGUUGAUGACAUGUAAUUAUUUAUUCAAACCUCCAUUCUUUUGUGACCAAUGGUCAUUGUAUUUAUUGCAUAAAGCUCUAACUUACUUUGGGAGUA